RNAcentral lists this ribosomal RNA (781 nucleotides) under Scedosporium dehoogii. Its description in RNAcentral is "partial large subunit ribosomal RNA". It matches the Rfam family "Eukaryotic large subunit ribosomal RNA", at positions 73 to 880 of the family's 3401-position model. The record is from RNAcentral. Lineage: Eukaryota; Fungi; Ascomycota; Sordariomycetes; Microascales; Microascaceae.
CCCCCCUCAGUAAAGGUGAGUGAAGCGGCAACAGCUCAAAUUCGAAAUCCGGCUGCCUCUGGGCGCUCCGAGUUGUAACCCGAAGAGGAUGCUUUUCCCGAGGUGCCUUCCGAGCGCCCUGGAACGUGACGCCACAGAGGGUGAGAGCCCCGUAUGGUUGGACGCCGAGCCUCUGUAAAGCUCCUUCGACGAGUCGAGUAGUUUGGGAAUGCUGCUCAAAAUGGGAGGUAAACCCCUUCUAAAGCUAAAUACUGGCCAGAGACCGAUAGCGCACAAGUAGAGUGAUCGAAAGAUGAAAAGCACUUUGAAAAGAGAGUUAAAUAGCACGUGAAAUUGUUGAAAGGGAAGCGCUUGCGACCAGACUUGUGCUCGUCGAAUCAGCCGCCCCUCGCGGGCGGCGCACUUCGGCGGGCUCAGGCCAGCAUCAGUUCGCUGCAGGGGGAGAAAGGCGGUGGGAAUGUGGCUCUUCGGAGUGUUAUAGCCCGCCGCGCAAUACCCCUCGGCGGACUGAGGACCGCGCAUCUGCAAGGAUGCUGGCGUAAUGGUCGUCAGCGACCCGUCUUGAAACACGGACCAAGGAGUCGUCCUAAUAUGCGAGUGUUCGGGUGUAAAACCCCUGCGCGUAAUGAAAGUGAACGGAGGUGAGAGCUUCGGCGCAUCAUCGACCGAUCCUGAUGUUCUCGGAUGGAUUUGAGUAAGAGCAUAUUGGGCCGGACCCGAAAGAAGGUGAACUAUGCCUGUAUAGGGUAAAGCCAGAGGAAACUCUGGUGGAGGCUCGCAG